UUUUAUUACAUAUCUUAAAAAUAUUAUUCUUUAUUAUAACUUUAUUUAUACAUUUCCAGUAUUUAGAUCAAUGUCCCUGUAAUCCUGACAAUGUUAUAAAUCAAAUUGUAAUUCAGUCAUAUAGUUUGAUUUAUAGCUAUUUUUAAGUUAAAUUAUAGUAUUUUUAGGUCAGACUGAAUUACCUUAGCAUUACUGCUUUCAACUGCUGAAUGUAUGAAAGACAUCCAAUUUGAUAUAAGGGUGUGAUAGCAAAGUGAAGGUCCUCAGAGUUUUGUGAGCAUUUUGCGUUCCCUUACUUCUUUUAGUGGCUGUAGAGCAUGAUGUCUAAUCAAGAUUCCAGUGUCUUGCACAAUUCCCACUUUAUUGCUCUGGGUUUUCAGUGUAUACCCAAUUUAAUACAAAAUUGUUGCUUCAUGAAGCUUAAAAGACUUUUGCUUUCUUAUCAGGAAAUGAACAAAAAGGGAAUAUGCAAUCACCAAGAGACAUAUUCCCUAAGCACGGUGACAAACAUCCUCAAAAGGACAGCUUGAUGCCAAAAAUAUUUGGGGUAUAGGAUUGGCUCAUUCAUUCAUUCAUUUGUGAAGGAACACUUAACCAGAAAUUAUUACAUUGCCUAGUGAAAGUGGAAAUCAAGGGGCACUCCAGCUACACAGCACCUUCCAACAACCUCGCACUUAGCUAAUGCUCAGUGAAGUCCCUCAAAUCCACGUUUUCCUCAAUAUUAGUUAAUAGUUCAGCUUGCUUCUGUCUGUUAAUGGCGUUAUACAUCCAACCACUGGUACACCUGCUAAUAAAACUGGGCAGCUGAAAAACAAGAGAGUAAAUUCUAGUCCACCGUAAGAAGUUGACUUAUUUUCAUCUUUCUUUAUCAUUAAGGGGAAGGAGUUCUUUGGAAAUAAUUUUAAGUCUGAAAAGCCAGGGUAGCAUGAUACCUGAAAUUUUUAAUUUGUACAUUCUGUUGUCUGAUCAUUUGCAUGGAAGAGACAAUAGUGCAGCGUCUGAAUUAUUCUUUUGUGCUUGGUUAAUCUGUACCUCUCUAGAUCGUUCUAUUCCAAACGACAUUUCUUGCUCUUUGGUUUUCAGAGGCAUUCAAAGCAAAAUUAUCACAGUGAUCCUUUUUUUCUGUUUUUUUUUAAAAUCAAUCUUAAAAGACCUGUGAUUAAAUUUUGAUUUGUUAAUGUAAAUAAAUUUCUUGCCAAUGAGUAUUAUUGUUGUUAGACAACGAAUGCAAUAAAAAGAGAAA
Long non-coding RNA from Ochotona curzoniae (black-lipped pika), 1243 nucleotides. RefSeq lists it as uncharacterized. NCBI's taxonomy places the organism in Eukaryota, Metazoa, Chordata, Mammalia, Lagomorpha, Ochotonidae. The transcript has 2 exons. The record is from RefSeq and is a predicted model, not a curated record.